CUAGGGGACAAGCAGACAAGCAUUCCCUCUGAGACUCAUUUCCUCCUCACAAAGCUUUCCAAGAGGUGGAACAGAAAUGAGCACAUGGCAAUGCCAUUUUUACUUUCUCCCACUCAGCUUCCUAAAUCGGAGUGGCAGCCUGGAGGCCAGGCUUGCAAUGGAGCCAGAUCCAGCUUUGCCAGUCCUGGGUGAGACUCGUUGAGCAGAAAGAAAUAAGUACCGUCCUGCUGAGUAGAAACUUCCUGAGAUGUAGCACUUUAUGCUCCGACCCCGUAUCUACCCAGGAAGAUCUACUCUGGUAUGAGAAAAAGGAAAAGCUUCUCCUUCCCCCCAGAGGACCAGACAUUUCCCUCUCCGUACAGACACGGGAGCUUUAAUGCUGUAGAAACAGGUGGAGGGUGGAACGCUGUGACCACAUUUGCUCUGGAGAGUGUGGAUACAGUUCUUUAUCCAGGUCAAGCAGCACUGAAUACCCAUAGUCCAGGUGGGGAGGAAGAAUGCCUGAACAUCUUUGGACAUGUCUUUUUCCUCACCACGUUGGGUGGGUUUUUGGAAAGGCGAGAGCAAGUGUCCUUGCUUCCCAUCAGUGCUGUCAGAGAGUCCACAGUGAUUCCCCAGAACCCGGUUACAAACCAACCCUGCAUUCACCUACAAGAUGAAACUGCUUUUGUACCAUUUUAAAGACAGGACAACUUUGGAAACAUUAAUAUAUAUCAUUUCUACAUUUUAGGCAUUUUCACAUUUUAGGUUAUUGGUUUAGAAAAAAAUAUUAGCAAAUUGGACAAUUUUGACAAAUUGAGAAUCCCGAGAGGGCUACAAGAUUGAUUGUGAGAGGCAGCCCGAGGGUCAUUUUCACAAAUGGUACUUUCUAGGAAGUCCACACAAAACAUGUAAGAAAAGUAAUUGCUCAACCUAAUUCAGUUCAAUAAGUCAGUAUAUACCAUCUUAGUUUCCUCCUAAAGGCUGGGCAGGUUUAAAUUUCCCCCCAGCACAAUACUUUUCUAAAGUCUAAUGUAAAAGUACAAUAAAGGUGAAAGGACCCUGCCCUUACUCA
Molecule: long non-coding RNA, 1054 nt
Filed under: Felis catus (domestic cat)
Lineage: Eukaryota; Metazoa; Chordata; Mammalia; Carnivora; Felidae
Description: lncRNA (ENSFCAG00000043813.2)
Source: RNAcentral